AGAGUUUGAUCCUGGCUCAGGAUGAACGCUGGCGGCGUGCCUAAUACAUGCAAGUCGAGCGAACAGAUAAGGAGCUUGCUCCUUUGACGUUAGCGGCGGACGGGUGAGUAACACGUGGGUAACCUACCUAUAAGACUGGAAUAACUCCGGGAAACCGGGGCUAAUGCCGGAUAAUAUUUAGAACCGCAUGGUUCUAAAGUGAAAGAUGGUUUUACUAUCACUUAUAGAUGGACCCGCGCCGUAUUAGCUAGUUGGUGGGGUAAUGGCUUACCAAGGCAACGAUACGUAGCCGACCUGAGAGGGUGAUCGGCCACACUGGAACUGAGACACGGUCCAGACUCCUACGGGAGGCAGCAGUAGGGAAUCUUCCGCAAUGGGCGAAAGCCUGACGGAGCAACGCCGCGUGAGUGAUGAAGGCCUUCGGAUCGUAAAACUCUGUUAUUAGGGAAGAACAAAUGUGUAAGUAACUGUGCACGUCUUGACGGUACCUAAUCAGAAAGCCACGGCUAACUACGUG
This 517-nucleotide ribosomal RNA is filed under the name uncultured Staphylococcus sp. RNAcentral describes it as "bacterial SSU rRNA". It matches the Rfam family "Bacterial small subunit ribosomal RNA", at positions 8 to 507 of the family's 1533-position model. The record is from RNAcentral. Lineage: Bacteria; Bacillati; Bacillota; Bacilli; Caryophanales; Staphylococcaceae.